Molecule: ribosomal RNA, 349 nt
Filed under: uncultured bacterium
Lineage: Bacteria
Description: bacterial SSU rRNA
Rfam family: Bacterial small subunit ribosomal RNA
Source: RNAcentral
AUUGAACGCUGGCGGAAUGCUUUACACAUGCAAGUCGAACGGCAGCACGGGGGCAACCCUGGUGGCGAGUGGCGAACGGGUGAGUAAUACAUCGGAACGUGCCCAGUCGUGGGGGAUAACUACGCGAAAGCGUGGCUAAUACCGCAUACGAUCUACGGAUGAAAGCGGGGGACCGGCAAGGCCUCGCGCGAUUGGAGCGGCCGAUGGCAGAUUAGGUAGUUGGUGGGGUAAAGGCCUACCAAGCCGACGAUCUGUAGCUGGUCUGAGAGGACGACCAGCCACACUGGGACUGAGACACGGCCCAGACUCCUACGGGAGGCAGCAGUGGGGAAGUUUUGGUACGAAUAGG